GCGCGAGUAGUAUAGUGGUUAUUAUGUCUCACUCGUAUUAAAUGGUACGAUUAUGAGAAGGUCGGGAGUUCGACUCUCCCCUUGCGCA
Paecilomyces variotii is the source of this 88-nucleotide non-coding RNA. The record is from the annotation of a RefSeq genome assembly. Lineage: Eukaryota; Fungi; Ascomycota; Eurotiomycetes; Eurotiales; Thermoascaceae.